Molecule: ribosomal RNA, 226 nt
Filed under: uncultured bacterium
Lineage: Bacteria
Description: partial 16S ribosomal RNA
Rfam family: Bacterial small subunit ribosomal RNA
Source: RNAcentral
GCGUUGUCCGGAAUCAUUGGGCGUAAAGCGCGUGUAGGCGGCCAGGUAAGUCCGUUCUGAAAGUCCGGGGCUCAACCCCGGGAGGCGGAUGGAUACUGCUUGGCUCGAGUCCGGAAGAGGCGAGUGGAAUUCCCGGUGUAGCGGUGAAAUGCGCAGAUAUCGGGAGGAACACCAAUGGCGAAGGCAGCUCGCUGGGACGGUACUGACGCUGAGACGCGAAAGCGUG